CUUGAUGUGAAUUACCAUAAUUCUGACUCAAUGGCACAAAUCAAAGAGAAGACUCGUGUCUUCUUGACACCAUAUAUAUGCUAUGUGCACUCAAAGAAUUGAGAAGCACACAUCAGAAAACCAUUCCUUUGGAAAAAGAGG
Unclassified non-coding RNA from Ictidomys tridecemlineatus (thirteen-lined ground squirrel), 141 nucleotides. NCBI's taxonomy places the organism in Eukaryota, Metazoa, Chordata, Mammalia, Rodentia, Sciuridae. The record is from Ensembl.